AGCUACUAAGAGCGAAUGGUGGAUGCCUUGACUGGUAAAGGCGAUGAAGGACGUACUAGACUGCGAUAAGCUACGGGGAGCUGUCAAGAAGCUUUGAUCCGUAGAUUUCCGAAUGGGGCAACCCAAUGUAUAGAGAUAUACAUUACCUAUAUAGGAGCGAACGAGGGGAAUUGAAACAUCUUAGUACCCUCAGGAAAAGAAAUCAAUAGAGAUUGCGUCAGUAGCGGCGAGCGAAAGCGCAAGAGGGCAAACCCAGUGCUUGCACUGGGGGUUGUAGGACUGCAAUGUGCAAGAGGUGAGUUUAGCAGAACAUUCUGGAAAGUAUAGCCAUAGAGGGUGAUAGUCCCGUAUGCGAAAAACAAACCUUAGCUAGCAGUAUCCUGAGUAGGGCGGGACACGAGAAAUCCUGUCUGAAGCUGGGUCGACCACGAUCCAACCCUAAAUACUAAUACCAGAUCGAUAGUGCACAAGUACCGUGAGGGAAAGGUGAAAAGAACUGAGGUGAUCAGAGUGAAAUAGAACCUGAAACCAUUUGCUUACAAUCAUUCAGAGCCCUAUGUAGCAAUACAGGGUGAUGGACUGCCUUUUGCAUAAUGAGCCUGCGAGUUGUGGUGUCUGGCAAGGUUAAGCAAACGCGAAGCCGUAGCGAAAGCGAGUCUGAAUAGGGCGCUUAGUCAGAUGCUGCAGACCCGAAACGAAGUGAUCUAUCCAUGAGCAAGUUGAAGCUAGUGUAAGAACUAGUGGAGGACUGAACCCAUAGGCGUUGAAAAGCCCCGGGAUGACUUGUGGAUAGGGGUGAAAGGCCAAUCAAACUUCGUGAUAGCUGGUUCUCUCCGAAAUAUAUUUAGGUAUAGCGUUGUGUCGUAAUAUAAGGGGGUAGAGCACUGAAUGGGCUAGGGCAUACACCAAUGUACCAAACCCUAUCAAACUCCGAAUACCUUAUAUGUAAUCACAGCAGUCAGGCGGCGAGUGAUAAAAUCCGUCGUCAAGAGGGAAACAACCCAGACUACCAGCUAAGGUCCCUAAAUCUUACUUAAGUGGAAAACGAUGUGAAGUUACUUAAACAACCAGGAGGUUGGCUUAGAAGCAGCCAUCCUUUAAAGAAAGCGUAAUAGCUCACUGGUCUAGUGAUUUUGCGCGGAAAAUAUAACGGGGCUAAAGUAAGUACCGAAGCUGUAGACUU
This 1183-nucleotide ribosomal RNA is filed under the name Campylobacter coli 1961. RNAcentral's name for it is "bacterial LSU rRNA". It matches the Rfam family "Bacterial large subunit ribosomal RNA", at positions 1 to 1209 of the family's 2925-position model. The record is from RNAcentral. Lineage: Bacteria; Pseudomonadati; Campylobacterota; Epsilonproteobacteria; Campylobacterales; Campylobacteraceae.